CUGUUGUCUUAAAUCUUUAGGUCUGAAUGCUUCUGAAUACGUAUUCCUUCUGGUAUAGCUGAUUAUUGCUUAUCUGGAUCCAAAGCUGAAACUCAUGUACUCAAGUCUUAAUAUAUGAAACCACUUCAAACUCACUGAACAGGGUAAUCUAAAAUGAAUCUACAGUUCACUGAGCCUUUCACUUCAAAUGUUUCUCCAUUGGUUGCCAUGCUGUAUGGUUAUAGGGCAUUACAUAAGAACGUAAAGAAUUCCCAAAACAUGCCAGAAUCUAGAAAAUUCACUGGAAGCUGGAUUUUUCAACACACAGAGACAAGAGGGUUGUCUCCAAAGCACCUUUACUCCCCAAAGCACCUGAGGGCAGCACAAGAAGCAAUGGGUGGAAGCUUGUUAAAAAGAAAUCCCGCUUGGAACUCGGGAAAAAUUUCCUGAUAGUGCAAGUAAUCAAUCAUUGGAACAGCUUGCUUCCCAGAGUUGUGACUGCUCCAUUGCUGGAGAUCUUCAAGAAAAGUUGGACAUUCAUUUGUCUGGGAUGUUAUAAGGACUCCUGUCUUGCACAUAGGGCUAGACUAGAAGCCCCCCAAGAUCCCUUGCAGCCCUGUAAUUCUAUGAUUCUAUGAUAUUAGUUCUUAAUGGUUGGGCUGCAAAGACUAGAGGCCAGCUACAAUCACAGAGAAGCCACUAAAGCAGGGGUGUCAAACUUGCAACGUCACGUGACAUGUGAUGUAUCGUAACUUUUUUCCAUUGCCGGCAAUGGGAUGGGCAUGGUUUUGCCAUGACACAUCUGGCCUGUGGGCCAGCAGUUUGACACCGCUGCACUAGAGCCUCUAUGGGUUUCAUUCCCACCAAUGCUUCUUCUUCUGAGUUGAUGGUUGAUUCAGGACAGGAUUACAAGGAGGAGGGUGCAGUAGUAGGAUGGUUUAUUUCACUUUCUAUGCUUUGUUCUACUGAAAGUUGACAUUUGAAGUACUAUAUCUGAGCUGCAAACUCUGGACAAUAACUAGAUGUGAUGGUAAAGAAAUAGAGGAGGAAAAGUGAUGUUUCCUAUUCUCUAGUCAUUAACUGGAUCAUUCACCAAAGAUCAUUCACCAGUGAAAGUAACCCUUCAUUCCUGGUUAUUCUGUGAUAUCCCUUAUGUGAGAGGCAAGGAGUGGAAGGAAGGAGCCUAGCAGAACUCAUAUGUUGUGAACCUCUAAACUCUGUCUCCCCUCCUGUCACUAUAUUUAUGCCUCUAGUGGUUCAUUAAGAAGAUAAAUGUUCAGAAUGACUCAGAACAACUUCUUAGUGAGCAAAUUAAACAUAUAUGUGAUUGGGUCUCCACCUGAAUUGCUAAGGGAUAUUUGGCUCCUAACAGUUUUUUUGUAGGCUUGAUAUAAUCUCUUUCCACUCUGUUCCAAUAACACUUACCUAGCCUGUAGGUUAUGAAAUUGAGAAGAGAAAGGUGACAAUUGAAAUUCAGCUCCAUCAACAGGGCUGAAUAUACAGGGACUCAUAUCCAGACUUUUAAGAACAAAAUUCACCAAGCCACUCUCUUGAGUGGAAAAAUGUGUUGUGUUUACUUUCUCUUGUCUUUUGAAUGUUGCUAAAUUUCAAAUGUAUUUUUUUGCCCUUUUAAUGAAGAGGUUGCCUUGUUGGUCUGCAUUAUUACUAUUGUUGCUGUUGUUGCUGCUACAGAUAUUAUUUUUCAUUCUUAUCAUAGUUUCAUUUAUUUUCUGCCUGUCUGUUUAAUAAUUGUUAUUAUCUUUUAAGGGUUUCCAUUAUGGGCUUCAAUUUUGUGAGAGUGGUGCUUUCAGCUGAAAAAAAAAGAACAUCAAUGAAAAAAUUCAGAAAUAAAGUAACUUUAAACAUGAA
Long non-coding RNA from Crotalus tigris (Tiger rattlesnake), 1848 nucleotides. RefSeq lists it as uncharacterized. NCBI's taxonomy places the organism in Eukaryota, Metazoa, Chordata, Lepidosauria, Squamata, Viperidae. The transcript has 2 exons. The record is from RefSeq and is a predicted model, not a curated record.